UAUAGUUCUGCUUAAGCGGCAGCAAUCUGUGAAGCACAGAUUUUCCGUGGUGCUACGAUCGGCAAUUUCUUAAAAUUCAACCAGAAGUUCAAGCUUAGCGUCUGCAAGUGAUGAUUCCAUGCACUGCAUGCUCUGCUUGCAGUUUGCGCACCUACUAAAAGAAGGUCGUUGCUCAAAACACUGCAGGUCCAUUCCAUUUGCAUAGGAAAUACUCAGCCAGAGUUAGCUGCUUGCUGCUACUCUCAACAGAUAAUGGAAUCCUCACCAAUGGUUCUAUCAAUGGGACCACAGCCUCCAAUGGAGCGCCAGCAAAAACCGAUUCUUCUUUUACUUCGCACGCACCGCCACCACCCAUCAAGAAGCGGAUUACAAUCUGAAGACCUUGACAGGAGGCAGGAUGCUGGACUAUAAUUUCGGCAUUUAUGUGAGCCAUCUCAUUACGAUCAUACCAUUUGUCUUUAAGAACAACAUUGUUCUUCACUGCUGCUGCUGGAGUGGUAACCUCAGCCAGUUGAAGCCUUGAUCUCAACUGGCUGGUGAAGCCACUGCAGUAGCAACAGUCCAGAUUAAUCUUGUUAUUAAAGUCAAAGCUAGGAUCGGAGCGAAGGGAAGUCUGGACUUGGAAAAUUUACUGAUAUUGUUUUUAUAAAGUAAAAUUCAAUAAAUAAGAACUCGGACUCAUUUAAAAAGAAUUAAGUAUAA
Molecule: small RNA, 702 nt
Filed under: Drosophila pseudoobscura pseudoobscura
Lineage: Eukaryota; Metazoa; Arthropoda; Insecta; Diptera; Drosophilidae
Description: GA31607
Source: RNAcentral